Molecule: non-coding RNA, 510 nt
Filed under: Dichanthelium oligosanthes
Lineage: Eukaryota; Viridiplantae; Streptophyta; Magnoliopsida; Poales; Poaceae
Description: Eukaryotic large subunit ribosomal RNA
Rfam family: Eukaryotic large subunit ribosomal RNA
Source: Rfam by way of RNAcentral
CCCACUAAGUUUAAGCAUAUAAAUAAGUGGAGGAGAAGAAACUUACAAGGAUUGCCCUAGUAACGGCUAGCGAAUUGUAGCCCGGCUUAAGAAUCAGGUAGCUUCAUUGCCCGAAUUGUAGUCUGCAGAGGUGUCCUUAGAGAUGGACUGGGCCCAAGUUCCCUAUAAAGGGACACCUAGGAGGAUGAGAGCCCCAUCUGGCCCGAACCCUGUCUCACCACGAGGUGCCGUCAACAAGUCAGAUUGUUUGGGAAUGCAGCCCAAAUUGGGCGGUAAACUCCGUCCAAGGCUAAAUAUAGGCGAGAGACCGAUAGUGAACAAGUACCGCGAGGGAAAGAUGAAAAGGACUUUGAAAAGAGAGUCAAAGAUUGCUUGAAAUUGCUGGGAGGGAAGUGGAUGGGGGCCGGCGAUGCGCCCUGGUCGUAUGUGAAAUGACUUCUGCUGGUUUGCCUAUCGGCUUGGUGCUGCAACAGCAUGCGGGCUCCCCAUCUGACCUGUCUUGAAACACGG